This 1639-nucleotide long non-coding RNA is filed under the name Homo sapiens (human). RNAcentral's name for it is "non-protein coding FTX:1". Lineage: Eukaryota; Metazoa; Chordata; Mammalia; Primates; Hominidae. The record is from RNAcentral.
GGAAGCACACUGCGGCGAUUCUGGAGAGGUUGUCCUUUUCUGGCAUCAGCGUUGCGGCUCGAGGCAAAGCUGGUCCUGUGCCUGCUGUCCAUUGCCGCUAAGGCCUGCUGCUGCCAUUCAGGCGUGUCUCUCUCUCUCUCUCUCUUUCAUGCCGCUCUCUCCACCCCAUCUUGGGACGGCCAGCUCUAAGAAUUCCUGCUACGACACUGAAUUCAACCAGGAGUAGAGACGGGGUUUCACCGUGUUAGCCAGGAUGGUCUCGAUCUCCUGACCUCAUGAUCCACCCGCCUUGGCCUCCCAAAGUGCUGGGAUUACAGGCGUGAACCACCGCGCCCGGCCAGGAGAGUGUAUUUUCUACACAUAAGUUCAGGUCAUCUCCACACAGACCCAGUUUGCCUCCCUCUUUUCCGAUCUGAAUGCCUUUAAUUUCCUUCUCUUGCCUAACUGUACUGGCUAGAACAUCCCGAACUAGGUUGAAUGAGGUGCUGAGAGUGGGCAUAAUUGGCUUCUUUACCUCCGAAGAAAAUAUUUCAUGUUUUCUUCAUUGAUUAUGAUGUUAGUUGUGGGUAUUUCAUUUACUGCCUAUAUGGUAUAAAGAUACAUUCCUUCUAUGCCUAAUUGGUUGACAGCUUUUAUUAUAUCAAAUUCUAUAAAACUGUUUUAUUUUUAAAUCUAUUGAGAUGAUCAAAUGGCGGUGUCCCUCCUCCUUUAUAAGACUAUUUAAAACAUCCUUGCCUCAGAGGGACAAAUCCCAUUUGAACAUGGCAAGUAAUCCUCUUAAUAUAAAGUGGAAUUAGGUUUGACAGAAAUUACCAGUGAAGCACUAUGGGCAUAUAUUUGAUAGGAGAUUUUUAUUAUGGAUACAAUUUACUUGUUAUUGGUCUCUUCAGAUAUUCUUUCUCAUGACUGGAUUUGCGUACGUUGUAUGAGUACAAAUUUUUUCAUUUAUUCUACGCUGCUCUUUAUUAUAUGCUUCCUUCUGUAAAAUUUGGACUGUUUGUUCUUCCCAUUAUAUUAAUAGUUGCUUCAGGUGUAACAUAAGGUUAUUUUUUAAGUACUUUUCUGGUAUCACAAAUAUUGGUGUUUUGUGUUUCAUCUUUCAUUUGUCAAAAUAUUUUUUAACUUCCAUUUGGAUUUAAUGAUUCACCCAUUCAUUAUUCAAAAGCAUAUUGUUUAAUUUCUAUGUGUUUGUGAACAUUCUAAUGUUCAUUCUACUAAUAGUUCCUAGGUUCAUGCAAUGUGCUUAAAAAUGUGGUAUAAUUUCUGUAUUAUUAAAUGUAAAACUAGUCUUGAUUCGUAACAUAAGGCCUACGCAAAGAUCCAUCUUCUGCAGAGAAGAAUGUAGAUUGUGCCGCUGUUAGACGAAGUAUUCUGUAUACGUCAGUUUGCUUUAUUUGGCAUAAAGUGUAGUGUAAGCCAGAUGUAGUGUAAGUCAGAUCCAGAUGAUCUGCCCAUUGCUGAAACUUCAGUACUUAAGUCCCCUAUUAUUAUUGUAUGGCAAUCUAUCUGUCCACUCAGAAGUUAUUAUAUUUGUUUUAUAUGAUUGAGCACUUCUGUUUUGGGUAUAUAUGUAUUUACAAUUACUAUAACCUCUUGCUGAAUUAACCCCUUUUACCAUUAUGUAAUAAACUUAUUUCCC